Molecule: ribosomal RNA, 432 nt
Filed under: uncultured bacterium
Lineage: Bacteria
Description: partial 16S ribosomal RNA
Rfam family: Bacterial small subunit ribosomal RNA
Source: RNAcentral
AACGAACGCUGGCGGCAUGCCUAACACAUGCAAGUCGAACGAGACCUUCGGGUCUAGUGGCGCACGGGUGCGUAACGCGUGGGAACCUGCCCUUAGGUUCGGAAUAACUCCCCGAAAGGGGUGCUAAUACCGGAUAAUGUCUUCGGGCCAAAGAUUUAUCGCCUUUGGAUGGGCCCGCGUUGGAUUAGCUAGUUGGUAGGGUAAAAGCCUACCAAGGCGACGAUCCAUAGCUGGUCUGAGAGGAUGAUCAGCCACACUGGGACUGAGACACGGCCCAGACUCCUACGGGAGGCAGCAGUGGGGAAUAUUGGACAAUGGGCGAAAGCCUGAUCCAGCAAUGCCGCGUGAGUGAUGAAGGCCUUAGGGUUGUAAAGCUCUUUUACCCGGGAUGAUAAUGACAGUACCGGGAGAAUAAGCUCCGGCUAACUCCGU